RNAcentral lists this ribosomal RNA (2639 nucleotides) under Klebsiella pneumoniae. Its description in RNAcentral is "bacterial LSU rRNA". It matches the Rfam family "Bacterial large subunit ribosomal RNA". Lineage: Bacteria; Pseudomonadati; Pseudomonadota; Gammaproteobacteria; Enterobacterales; Enterobacteriaceae. The record is from RNAcentral.
ACUAUCGUUAACUGAAUACAUAGGUUAACGAGGCGAACCGGGGGAACUGAAACAUCUAAGUACCCCGAGGAAAAGAAAUCAACCGAGAUUCCCCCAGUAGCGGCGAGCGAACGGGGAGCAGCCCAGAGUCUGAAUCAGCUUGUGUGUUAGUGGAACGGUCUGGAAAGUCCGACGGUACAGGGUGAUAGUCCCGUACACCAAAAUGCACAGGUUGUGAACUCGAAGAGUAGGGCGGGACACGUGGUAUCCUGUCUGAAUAUGGGGGGACCAUCCUCCAAGGCUAAAUACUCCUGACUGACCGAUAGUGAACCAGUACCGUGAGGGAAAGGCGAAAAGAACCCCGGCGAGGGGAGUGAAAAAGAACCUGAAACCGUGUACGUACAAGCAGUGGGAGCACCUUCGGGUGUGACUGCGUACCUUUUGUAUAAUGGGUCAGCGACUUAUAUUCUGUAGCAAGGUUAACCGUAUAGGGGAGCCGCAGGGAAACCGAGUCUUAACUGGGCGUUAAGUUGCAGGGUAUAGACCCGAAACCCGGUGAUCUAGCCAUGGGCAGGUUGAAGGUUGGGUAACACUAACUGGAGGACCGAACCGACUAAUGUUGAAAAAUUAGCGGAUGACUUGUGGCUGGGGGUGAAAGGCCAAUCAAACCGGGAGAUAGCUGGUUCUCCCCGAAAGCUAUUUAGGUAGCGCCUCGUGAAUUCAUCUUCGGGGGUAGAGCACUGUUUCGGCUAGGGGGUCAUCCCGACUUACCAACCCGAUGCAAACUACGAAUACCGAAGAAUGUUAUCACGGGAGACACACGGCGGGUGCUAACGUCCGUCGUGAAGAGGGAAACAACCCAGACCGCCAGCUAAGGUCCCAAAGUCAUGGUUAAGUGGGAAACGAUGUGGGAAGGCACAGACAGCCAGGAUGUUGGCUUAGAAGCAGCCAUCAUUUAAAGAAAGCGUAAUAGCUCACUGGUCGAGUCGGCCUGCGCGGAAGAUGUAACGGGGCUAAACCAUGCACCGAAGCUGCGGCAGCGACACUAUGUGUUGUUGGGUAGGGGAGCGUUCUGUAAGCCUGCGAAGGUGACCUGUGAGGGUUGCUGGAGGUAUCAGAAGUGCGAAUGCUGACAUAAGUAACGAUAAAGCGGGUGAAAAGCCCGCUCGCCGGAAGACCAAGGGUUCCUGUCCAACGUUAAUCGGGGCAGGGUGAGUCGACCCCUAAGGCGAGGCCGAAAGGCGUAGUCGAUGGGAAACAGGUUAAUAUUCCUGUACUUGGUGUUACUGCGAAGGGGGGACGGAGAAGGCUAUGUUAGCCGGGCGACGGUUGUCCCGGUUUAAGCAUGUAGGCUGGUUGUCCAGGCAAAUCCGGAUAAUCAAGGCUGAGGUGUGAUGACGAGGCACUACGGUGCUGAAGUAACAAAUGCCCUGCUUCCAGGAAAAGCCUCUAAGCAUCAGGUAACAUUAAAUCGUACCCCAAACCGACACAGGUGGUCAGGUAGAGAAUACCAAGGCGCUUGAGAGAACUCGGGUGAAGGAACUAGGCAAAAUGGUGCCGUAACUUCGGGAGAAGGCACGCUGGUGUGUAGGUGAAGCCCCUGCGGGUGGAGCUGAGACCAGUCGAAGAUACCAGCUGGCUGCAACUGUUUAUUAAAAACACAGCACUGUGCAAACACGAAAGUGGACGUAUACGGUGUGACGCCUGCCCGGUGCCGGAAGGUUAAUUGAUGGGGUUAUCCGUAAGGAGAAGCUCUUGAUCGAAGCCCCGGUAAACGGCGGCCGUAACUAUAACGGUCCUAAGGUAGCGAAAUUCCUUGUCGGGUAAGUUCCGACCUGCACGAAUGGCGUAAUGAUGGCCAGGCUGUCUCCACCCGAGACUCAGUGAAAUUGAACUCGCUGUGAAGAUGCAGUGUACCCGCGGCAAGACGGAAAGACCCCGUGAACCUUUACUAUAGCUUGACACUGAACAUUGAGCCUUGAUGUGUAGGAUAGGUGGGAGGCUUUGAAGCGUGGACGCCAGUCUGCGUGGAGCCAACCUUGAAAUACCACCCUUUAAUGUUUGAUGUUCUAACGUUGGCCCCUGACCGGGGUUGCGGACAGUGUCUGGUGGGUAGUUUGACUGGGGCGGUCUCCUCCCAAAGCGUAACGGAGGAGCACGAAGGUUAGCUAAUCCUGGUCGGACAUCAGGAGGUUAGUGCAAUGGCAUAAGCUAGCUUGACUGCGAGCGUGACGGCGCGAGCAGGUGCGAAAGCAGGUCAUAGUGAUCCGGUGGUUCUGAAUGGAAGGGCCAUCGCUCAACGGAUAAAAGGUACUCCGGGGAUAACAGGCUGAUACCGCCCAAGAGUUCAUAUCGACGGCGGUGUUUGGCACCUCGAUGUCGGCUCAUCACAUCCUGGGGCUGAAGUAGGUCCCAAGGGUAUGGCUGUUCGCCAUUUAAAGUGGUACGCGAGCUGGGUUUAGAACGUCGUGAGACAGUUCGGUCCCUAUCUGCCGUGGGCGCUGGAGAAUUGAGGGGGGCUGCUCCUAGUACGAGAGGACCGGAGUGGACGCAUCACUGGUGUUCGGGUUGUCAUGCCAAUGGCACUGCCCGGUAGCUAAAUGCGGAAGAGAUAAGUGCUGAAAGCAUCUAAGCACGAAACUUGCCCCGAGAUGAGUUCU